Myotis brandtii (Brandt's bat) is the source of this 287-nucleotide long non-coding RNA. RefSeq lists it as uncharacterized. Lineage: Eukaryota; Metazoa; Chordata; Mammalia; Chiroptera; Vespertilionidae. The transcript is spliced from 3 exons. The record is from RefSeq and is a predicted model, not a curated record.
UGCUUUCAUGCACACUCAGCAGAGGACUGGGCACCAUGGACCCGAAUCCUGGGAGGACAUGGUCAACAGGCAAGCAGAUUGCUCAGCGUGGCACCCCACACGUAGCGACCGCUGGAUGUGCUUGAAACAAAUAUUUAAUUUUGGUGCUAUUUCUAGCCCCACAUUAUGAAUGAAGAAACUGAGGGCUUUGGCACUUGCCCAAGAUCCUCUAGCUGGAGCUGGUAUUUGAACCAAAACAGCUGGACUCUGUGAAUUUCUGACUGCUUCUGUAACAAAUGACCACAGGU